UGAUAGUAUGCGUCCAUGCACGAGCGCC
RNAcentral lists this small RNA (28 nucleotides) under Bombyx mori (domestic silkworm). Its description in RNAcentral is "piRNA piR-bmo-1614103". The record is from RNAcentral. Lineage: Eukaryota; Metazoa; Arthropoda; Insecta; Lepidoptera; Bombycidae.